CAGUAGCCGCGGUAAUACGUAGGUGGCAAGCGUUGUCCGGAAUUAUUGGGCGUAAAGGGCUCGCAGGCGGUUUCUUAAGUCUGAUGUGAAAGCCCCCGGCUCAACCGGGGAGGGUCAUUGGAAACUGGGAAACUUGAGUGCAGAAGAGGAAAGUGGAAUUCCACGUGUAGCGGUGAAAUGCGUAGAGAUGUGGAGGAACACCAGUGGCGAAGGCGACUCUCUGGUCUGUAACUGACACUGAGGAGCGAAAGCGUGGGGAGCGAACAGGAUUAGAUACCCCUGUAGUCCCUGUCUCUUAUAC
RNAcentral lists this ribosomal RNA (301 nucleotides) under uncultured bacterium. RNAcentral's name for it is "partial 16S ribosomal RNA". It matches the Rfam family "Bacterial small subunit ribosomal RNA", at positions 509 to 807 of the family's 1533-position model. The record is from RNAcentral.